This 468-nucleotide ribosomal RNA is filed under the name uncultured bacterium. RNAcentral's name for it is "partial 16S ribosomal RNA". It matches the Rfam family "Bacterial small subunit ribosomal RNA", at positions 28 to 507 of the family's 1533-position model. The record is from RNAcentral.
GAUGAACGCUGGCGGCGUGCCUAACACAUGCAAGCCAAACGGUAAGGCCCUUCUCUAGUGGGCUACCAGAGUGCCGAACGGGUGAGUAACCCGAGACUACCCUCCCCUUGACUUUGGGUUAACCUCAGGAACCUGGGGUUAUUCUCCAUAAGGAUCCUCAGCUGCAUCGUUGGGCUAGUAAAGUUGCGGCGGUUGGGGAUGUGCUCGCGGCUUAGGAGAUCGAUGGUGUGGUAGUUGCUUACCAGGGCUUUGACGGGUAGACGGCCUGAGAGGGUGACCGGGAACAGUGGGACAGAGCUACGGGCGGGAGUCCUACGGGAGACAGGAGUGGGGAAGAUUGCACAAUGGGCGGAAGCCGGAUGCAGCAACGCCGCGUGAGGGAUGACGGCCUGCGUGUGGGAAACCGCAUUAGGCGGGGAGGAAGCGUGGGUGACGGUAAUGGGUGAAGAAGCACCGGCUAACUACGUG